Molecule: long non-coding RNA, 34260 nt
Filed under: Manihot esculenta (cassava)
Lineage: Eukaryota; Viridiplantae; Streptophyta; Magnoliopsida; Malpighiales; Euphorbiaceae
Description: long non-coding RNA (MESC_LNC003153)
Source: RNAcentral
UUAAUUUUACGAAAAAAAAUCAUAAUAAAGCUUGGAAUAUUAGGUGGUGUUGAUAUUAAUUAAGGAGAACGUCGUGAUUGGCUUGAAUACAAGCAAAAACAUGAUUGGGAAUUGUAAAUGACAAGUUGACAACCAAUGAGAAGAAGCCACCUGAAAGAAUUCAAAAAGCGUUCUUUUUCUUAUUAGGAAAAAAAAAAAAAUCCCUCAUUUUACAACAUGCAUCUCCUUACCUUAUCCUUAAUUUUACAGAAGAAUUUGGGUAUUCAUUGCUUUCCUUUUAAGCGAAUAUUAGUCGCUAGUUAUAACGUCCAAGUAAUUUAGCUUGAUCGAGAUAACUCUCCCACUCCCAACUCCAAAACCAACACUUCCCUUUCACGCCUUUUCCAAAUCACAGUACUCAACCUUCAUUAUAUUACUUGUUCAAAUCUGUUCUCCUUCUUCAACCUCAAUCUCAACCAGAUCCAAGAAGAUGUGUUGCGGUGGUAGGAUGUGUAUGUUCUGCACAUGCAUCAUUCUAGUGGUGAUCUUGAUCGGAUUGCUGUUUGGAUUUGGUGUUUUCAAGAAUGGGUUUCACAAAUUGAAGGACACAAUUCAUGUGGGUGAUGCUUCUUAUCCUAAUUUCAAUGCUAGGCCAUUCUUCGGCUUUGAUGGAGCUCCUGCUCCUUUCUAGGGAUCGGGAUUCUCUCUAUUCUUCUUCUCGUUCUUCUGUGUUUUUCUUUUUUAAAUUUUUUUAUGGGUAUUUGUUGUUUGAAUUUGUUAUUGUUUAAUUGAAGCUAAUUCUGGUACAGUGUGUAAUGGAUAAAUUUUAGUUCUGAUUCUUCUAAAAUUCUGAUGCGUUUUCCGAUUCCAUUAAAGAAAUAUUCGAGGUGGCCGGUUGGCCUUCUCGCCGCACUGUGUCAGUAGGAUGCUUUGCUUUGCCCUACCGAAUAGGAUGUCGUUUUAUAUUAUUUUAAGGGUAAUUUACGAUUUAGUCCCUGAAUAUUGACAUUAUUAAUAAGUCAGUCCCUAUAUUUUCAGAAACCUAUUAAAACGUCCUUAUGUUUUAUUUCCGUCAACGAAAUAAUCCUUCCGUCAUAUUUUCCGUUAAAAUUAGAUAAAGGAGGAGAGAUAAAAUUUUUAAAAUCCAAUUUUACCCUCAAAUAAAACCAUUUAUUUAGUCCUUGUAUAGUGUAAUUAUUAACAAAUUAGUCCUUACAUUUUCAAAAAUCUAUUAAAAUAUUUUUAUCUUUUUUCAUAUCUAUUAAAACGUCCUUAUUAUUUUUUUCCAUCAAUGAAAUAGUCUCUAUCUUUUCUCACAUCUAUUAAAACAUCCUUAUCGUUUAUUUAAGUCAACGAAAUAGUUCCUCCUCAUCGUUUCUUUCUGUCAACGAAAUCGUCUCUCCCUAUAUUUUUAGAAAUAUAUUAAAACGUCCUUAUUGUUUCUUUUUGUCAACGAAAUAGUCCCUAUCUUUUAUCAGAUCUAUUAAAACAUCCUUAUUGUUUCUUUUUAUCAACAAAAUAGUCCCUAUCUUUUCUUUCCUUUUCCUCCUCCUCCUCCUCCUCCUCCUCCGAAAAAGAAGAAGAAGAGGAAGAAGAAGAAGAAGAAGAAGAAGAAGAGAAAGAAGAAAAAGAAGAAGAAGGAGAAGAAGGAGAAGAAGGAGAAGAAUGAGAAGAAGAAGAAGAAGAUAAAGAAGAAAAAGAAGAAAAAAAAGCAAAAGAAGAAAAAAAAGCAAAAGAAGAAAAAGGAGAAGAAGAAGAAGAAGAAGGAGAAAAAACAGAAGCUGAAGAAGAAGAAGCAGAAGAAGAAGAAGAAGCAAAAGGAAGAAGAAUUAAUGAAGAAGAAAAGGAAGGAGGAGGAGGAGAAAAAUAAUUGGGGGUAAUUUAGUUUUUUACUAUAUUUUUAACGGCAAAAAUAGACAGAAGGACUAUUUCGUUGACGGAGAAAAAAUAUAAGGACGUUUUAAUAGGUUUCUGAAAAUACAGGGACUGACUUGUUAAUAAUGGCAAUACUCAGGGACUAAAUUAUAAAUUACCCUUAUUUUAAUUUAGUUUAGAGUUUAUACGUAAUAUAACCGUUACCGGUUAUAUUUUUGCAAUAGUCAAUUCACCUUAUAAAGCUAAAGCAUUUGUGUUUUGUGUAAAUUUUAUCUUAAUUUAAAAUUAGAAUUCAAGAUUGGGCUGAUGUGAUCAAUUUAAUACAUAUUAUAUGCAUAUUAAUAAAUAAAAAUUAUUUUAAUCAAUUGAAAUAUUUUUAUCCUUUACUAAGUUUUUUUUUUUAAUUUGUAUUAUGAUUUCUUUUUUUUUUUUAAUAUUAUUAUCGAUAUAGUUAAUAAAAAAGCAACUUAAACAAAAUCAUUUCUAUUUUCACUUUACUUUACCAAAAUAAUAAUUUUUAUAUUUAAAAAGUUAAAAAAGUAACUUAGAAUAUAAAAGUAUAAUAGAUAUCAAUUUACAAUAAAUUCUAUUCUCCUUUUUGUUACUUUAUUUCGUAUUGCUGAAUUAGAAUUAAAUAAUUCCCUUCCUAUUCCAUCUUAUUCACAAAAACAAAUAAACUCCUAUUAGAUCUAAUCCUUUAAGUUUUUUAUUAUUUUUAUUUUCAAUUUUUCCUUUAAAAAUUUUAAAUUUUUCAAAAACUUCAUUUUUGUUUUGAGUAAAUAAAAAUAAAUGCAUCUUAAAAAAUUAUAAUUAAAAAUUAUAAAAUAUCUUUUACAUUCAUAAAUUAGAGCAAUAUGAUAAGGAUAUGAUAAAUCUAUAUAUAUUAAAAAUAAUGGUUAAUAACAUAAUUGUAAUUGCAACCUGCUAAUUUAAUUACUAUAAAAUUUUAUUCUUUCAAUAUGCUUUUUUUAGAUAGCUUUUUUAAAAAAGAAAAAUUCAACCAUAUUAUUAAUUAUGGAUUUUUUUUACUAAAACAAUAAUCAAAGUGAAUUUCAGAAAAAAAUAAUAUAGAAAGCGGAUUAAAUUAAAAUUGAAUUAAUAUAAAUUAGUAUAUGUCAAAUCAUUGAUAAAACUAAAAUAAAGUUUUUUUUUUACGAAAAAUAUUUUGCAAUAUUUUUUUAACUUUCUAGUAUUUAAAGUAUUUUAAAAUUUUAAUUAAUAAAAAAUAUUUUUCCAAUAAAAAAUUUAAAAAUUAAAAUUAUUCUUUCUAAAUCAUUUUUCAUAUUUUGAUAUUCUUAUUAAGACAUCUAUAUAAAUUUGAAGUAAUAAAAAUAAAUUAUCUUACUAAAAAAUAUUUUUUACUUAAAAUAUUUUUCAUGAAAAUUAUUUUUUAAAUGAAAAUUAUUUUUUACAAACAAAUAGAGUCUAAAUAUAAUAAUAAUAUCAAAUAUUUUAAUAUUAUAAAAUUUAAUUUUAGAUAAAAUGUCAAAAAAAAACAUUAAAUUUAAAAAAAAUUACAAUUGUAUUAUAAACUUUUAAGUUUUAUCAAUUAUAUUCUAAAUUUUGAUGAUGUGAUGAUGGCAUGUUAGGUGGUAUAAUAAUUUUGUUAGUCGAUGAUAAAAGUAGAAAUAAUGUUAGAAUAUAUUUAAAAUAAAAUAUAAAAUUUAAUUAAUAAUUAAAUUAAUAUUGAAUGUAAUUAUAAAAAUUUAUAAAAUAUAGAAUUUUUUUGUAAUUAACUCUUUAAAUUAUAUAUCAUUGCAUUUUACACAUGCAAAUGUAAAUUGGUUAUUGAAAUCAAUACAUUUUUUUUUUGUAAAAUAAGUAUAUAGAAACUGUUAUUGGUAAAAUUCUUGUUUGAUUAAAAUAAUCGUUUAUAUAUAUACACGAAAUUAUUUUGACCAUUUUUUUAAAAUAAUAAAUUUAAUUUUUAAAAUUCAUUCACGUCAAUAAGCAACGUAAUAAUUGUCCAAAAUAAAUAAUAAAUUGUCACUCUAUAAAUAAAAUUUAAUAAAUUAAUAUUCAGUAGCAAAAGUCUCACCAUAGAAGAAAAAUAAAAAUACUGUAAUACGGUACUUUAUUAAAACUCAUCUUUUUUUAAAUAAAAAUUUUUAUAAAAAGUUGCUGUUAGUAAAUAUAAUCUAAUCGAUUCUCAUUAUAUUUAUAAACAUAGUAUCUUUAUUAACUAAGGAUAUUAGGUAUUAGUUAGAUUUUUAAAAAAUUUAAUAAUCAACUCUGUAUAAAAAAUAAAUGUAUACAGAAAUUAAAGUAUGCAUUUUUAUACUAAUUUAAGCAUUUAAUUCUCUCAUUCCGUUUUUUUUGUAAAUCGCUGCCAAUCCCUUAUUCUUUCAACUUUAUUUUAGAUUUAUCGCUAGUAUUUAAACUCAAGUCGUCUAAAAAAAAGUCAGAUAUCCUAAAGUUUUAUUAUUUUAUUUAUAAUAUUUAUAUUGAUUAAAUUAAUACACAUUAUUAAUUUUAUUUUCUUAUAAUUUUGUUUAAAUCUAAUUUGAAUUUAACUUUAUAAUCAAAAUAAUUAAUUUAAUUUAUUUUAGAUACUUAAUAUAAAAAAGUGUAAAAUUUAAAAAGUAAUUGAUAUUGGCUAUUUUAUAGCUGAUAUUAUUUAUUUUAAGUGAUUUCUAUAAACACGCUACUUAAUUUUUAUGAACACACACUACUGCAGAGUUUAUACUAAAAUUAGUUAGAAUUUAGAUUAAUUAUUUUUAAUUUAAUUUAUAUUAAAAUGAUUUAGAUUUAACUGAAAUAUAUAUUAUAUUUAUAAUAAAUUAUUGAUAAAAGUAAUAAAAUUAAUCAACAGCUCAAUUAUGAUUCAAAAUAUCUGAGAAUUUGCUUACCCUGAUUUAUUGCAGUAGUCAAAAUUAGCCAGAAAUUCAGUUCCAAGUUUUCACUUUCAUAUACCUACUAAAAAAGAUUUGACCGUUUGACAUUUCAUACUUUUUUUGAAAAAUUAAUUAUUCAUAAAAAGAAAACAAAUAAUGAAUAAAAUAACAAUAUAAAUUUGAGAAUUAUAUUAAAUUAUUAAUUAAAAUAAUGAAGACUGCUAAUAAAAUUAAUUAAUAAAAAGUCCAAAAUCCAGAAAACUUGUUGCUGAAGGUCAACAGCAUCGACAAAAACUCUUCUAUGCCAAGAAAACCAUGGUCCCCUAUAUAAAGACGAACAAACCAAAACUAAGUAAUAGGAGAGAAGGAGAUAGAUCCGAUUCACCAAAAAAAGAUGAGAAUCACUGUAAUGACAGCUGACGAACACAUCAUAUCUCUAGAUGUGGAUCCCCAUGAAUCUGUAAUCUCUCUCAAACCCUAACUUGAAUUUUUACAUAUAUACUUACCGUCUUUAUAUGGGUAAUCGUAGACUGACCAUUUUUUUUUUUUAACAAUUUAAUUGAAGGUUGAGAACGUGAAAGCUCUUCUUGAAGUGGAGGUAAUCCCUUUCUCUCUGAGUCUCUCUCGUUUUCUAGCUGUUGCUGAGGAAGUAGACAGAAAGGAAAACGAAAAAGAUACUUGGAAUUCCAGCUCAAUAAUUUGCAUUGAAAUUUAAGAACUGAGAUUGUUUUAUAUGAAUAAAUUUUGUUGCUUUUUUCUUCUUAUUGUUAUUUAUAUGUGAAUGAGCAGACACAGGUGCCACUGCAGCAGCAGCAGCUGCUGUAUAAUGGGAGAGAAAUGAGGAAUAAUGAGAAAUUGAGUGCAUUGGGCGUUAAGGAUGAGGAUUUAAUGAUGAUGGUCUCCAGUGCUGCACACAGGUGUUUACUCUUUUCGUGAUCUACUGUUUACUUAAAUAGAUUUCUUAGCUCAAUUUUGGAAUGUCAAUUAUGUUUUCCAAUUUGGUGGCUCCAAUCUUCAUACAUGUGUUCGAUGUUCGUAGUGAUAUUCAUGACAUAAGUAUAAAUUUGCUUUGGGAAUGAUUUCUGUGAUUUACACUCUGAAAAUUUGCAUUUUAUUCAGUGGUGGAUGCAGAUUUUUUUUUUCGGAGUAAAUUAACUUUCCAAUGGUAAAAAUAUAUCAUUAAAAAAGAGGGUUCAACGCUUAAAUUUAUGAUGGAUCAGUUUAAGUAAACAUUUAAACAUAUGAUCGUGACUUUUUAGAAAAGAGUAGUCAAUUAACCCCACUUUUCUUAAGGUAGAUACACCACCGAUUUUACUAUGUACUGUUGAUUUUUUUAGCUUAAUGGAACUGACUUAUAUGGGAAGCAUCAAGCGAAAAACUGAACUACAUUAAGUACUUAUUGUAUUUGUGUAGUUGUGAUGAUGGUAGAAGUCCAGAUUCGUUGUAGAUGAUAAUUUGGGGAACCAAAGAAUGUAAACUAGAUGGGUAUUCAGAUGCAUGUUUAUUUUUGGAAUUGAUUGACUGUUAGAAAAUAAGCCAUGAUUCCACAUUGAAAGGUUAUUGGAAAUUGAGUGGUUGCAUUUGUUGUAUUUGGUGCAAGUAAUUGGAAGAUGUUAAGGAAGGGGGUUAAUAUAUACAGAUUAUCCAAUCAUUCCAUUGAUUACACAUGUAUUAAAUCUUAAGUAGCCAAUUUUUUUGUAUGAACCCAUUUACUUCUCCUUACUUCAAUUAUUUUGUUUCUGGUAUCUGGCCAUUGCCUUUCUCUGUUAGUGAUUCCAUUAUUUACUUUUGUGUCUUUAUUUGUGGCCUUCAUGGGAUUUAGUGGCCUUCAUGGGAUUUACUUGCCUUUACAGGGAUAUUAUUUUAGCUAAAUGCGCACUUGUGCAAAGUCAGACACACACCGUUUUUAUUGAAAUGAACUCUAUUCUAUGCCUAGUUAUGCUAAAUGAAACUUUAAAUUAUUUCAGAGCUCCUGCAAAUGAUUUGAGCUUCAAUCCUGAUGGGUCUGCUGUGAAUCCUGAGGCUUUCCAACAACAUAUUCGGCAUGAUUCUAAUUUGAUGGCCCAACUAUUUCAGGUGCAAUGGAUGGCUAUUUUUGUUAAUAUUUUUGACAUUUUUUUUAAUUUUUUACUCUCUUCUAAAUUGCAAGUAUUGGGUGAUUUCAUAUUAGUUAAGUUCUUCACAAAUCAGAUGAGAAAGUUACUGCAUUUUUGAAUCAUUAAUAUUCCCUUAUUUCUUCUUAUAUUUUUUCCCUUGAAGAUACACAUUACCCGUCAAAAUCUCUUAUUUAUGCCAUUGAGUUUCAUUGUAUUGGAAGUUUGUUGUGAUUAUACUUAUGGGAAUUGCUAUGAUCUUGAUUAUUUUCUGUUGAUCUUAUGGUUGUUGAAUAAGCUGUGACAUUACUUAAGUGCAAAAGAUUUGAACUCUCAGUGGAUAGUUGCUUAUUUUUCUCCAAAUUUGUUCCUAGUUUCUAUGUUUUGGCUGCAUCACUUUGAUUUUUGAUUCUAUAUGUGGUUAUCAUAGACUGAUCCGGAUUCUUCCUCUUGUUUGUGUUGCAUUUGCAGACUGAUCCAGAACUUGCACAAGUUCUUCUUGGCAAUGACCUCAGCAAACUGCAGGAGCUCUUGCGGCAACGGCAUCGCCAGAAAUCUGAAUUGCAGCGCCAACAAGAGGAGGAACUAGUAAGUGGCUAGCUUUUCCUGGUUAAUUGCCACAUUUGUCUUAAAGGACUUCUCACUUCUAAGUUUAUUGAUGAAUGUUACUUUUUUUUUUUAAAACUUUCUAUUUAUAUAAAAUUGGUUUAUUUAUGUUUUAUUUAAUAAUCUCUAAGUAACUUCACAUAAAAGUUAGUAAGGCAUGAGUGCAUUAAGUAUAGGUCAUGACCUUGUGCUGACAUGUUAUCAUAAUAACAUGGCACCUAGAAAAUUAUUCUGGACCUCUUGGUUGAGGCACACAUAUUAUGUAUUAUAACUGCAUAAAGGAACCGUGUGCUUCAAAGGUCAAUACUGUAGAUGAGGGCCCAAAAUAAGUAUUUUAUUUCUAAUGAUGUACUGUGUCACGAUGAGGGUGUUUGAAAACAUAUAGUGUCCAUGCUAUGUUAUACCUUGGUAGGUUGCUCCUCUGAUAUACUGUUUAGACUUAAUUACUCGGUAGUUAAUAUAUCUUACUUAGAAGCAUCAAUGUCAAUGAAAUGUUUUCUUGCCAGCUAUGGUUGUGAUUUAUUUAGAAGCUGAUUUACCUCUUACUUUUUAGAUUUCAUUUUGAUAUACUUGUUAGAUUUGAUUAAUUGGUAAAAUUUAGUAAAUUUUAUUGUGAAUCAUCAUUGUUUGAUGAAGUUUCAUAUUGUCUACUGCUGUGAUUUAUACCAAUUUUUUAAUAGAAGGAUAAAAUUUCAGUUCAUCAUUAAAAGUGGAUUCAUUUAUUAAAUAGAGAUGCUGAUUAUAUUUACCUAUGUUCUUCCAUUUUGCAUUUUAGGCUCUUCUUGAUGCAGAUCCUUUUGAUGUUGAGGCACAGAAGAAAAUUGAAGCUGCCAUUCGCCAGGUCAGUUUAAUUUGCAUUCUUCAAAUGUGACAAUUAACUGGCAAUGACUCAUGAAUAUUUUUUUUUUGAAUUUUUUAAUAUAUAAAGAAGUACCAUGUUAAGCAUCUGUUGUCAUUGGGGGAUAAUGUUGAUUGGGUUGAAUAGGGACACAGUUAGUGUUUAUGAACACAAAGCAUAUGACUGAAACAGCUGGAGACAAUUUGGUAUUUUCAAGAUGUUUUGGAAAUUGAUGUAUUUUCACCAUUUGCUGAAUCCAAAUGCAGAAAGGAAUUGAUGAGAACUGGGCAGCUGCAUUGGAAUACAACCCUGAAGCUUUUGCUAGGGUGGUAUGUAUUCUCUUCAACGUAGUGGUCUACAGAAGUCAGUUGAUUAUGUUUAAAAUUGAAGCUUAUUCUUUAAAUCUUCAGGUUAUGUUGUACGUUGACAUGGAAGUUAAUGGCGUCCCUUUAAAGGUAGAGACUACAAAAAUUAGCUGAUGCUUCAACCAAGAAGCAAUCAUGUUAUUCUUUCAAUUUUCAACAAAACCUGAUUUUUGUAUUCUUUCAUCACAACUUCCUUGUUAUUUAUUCCCAAGACAACAUUAUUAUGAAACUAUUGCUGAAUUUAUGUUGGACUCUAUGCUGUUAUAGACAAUGGUUUUAUCAAUUAUGAUGGAUCAAUAACCUUAUUAAAUUUCUCUUAUUUCAGGCAUUUGUUGAUAGUGGUGCUCAGUCGACAAUAAUAUCGAAAAGCUGUGCUGAACGAUGUGGGUAUGUACUGUUGUAUAUGUGUUUAUUUUAUUAUUUGAAUAACUACUGUUGAGUUCUGAAAAUUGGGUGAAGAGUUAUUUGUGUGGUGCUAAUAAUGUUAAAUAUCGUAAUUCUAAUGAUAUAAAAGAUGGAUUUCCUGGCUAAACUUAUUUUUAUCUAUAUCUGAUGUAUAAGGAUCGGUUUAUGGAACCAUAAUGAAUAUCGAAUAUGGAAUGAUUGUUUUCUCAAAGUAAAUGGGUUGAUUCCUUAGGCUUUUUGGUUUUUAUAUGCACAGAAAUUGGAAUAAGUCUAAAUCUUUUUCAUAAUAAUCCUAAAUAGAGAUAAAGUUUUUUACUUUCUAAUAUCAUUUAUUUUACAGAAGUAUAAUAUUUUUGUUAAAAAAAUUAUUAAAUAAGGUGACAGAUGUGUCGUUAAUAAUCAUGUUUCUUUUCUGUAAUUUUUCAAAAUUUCUAUAAACUUAAUUAGUUUAAACAUCAUCUCUCUAUAAAUUGAUUUUAUUUUGAAAUUAUGUUGUUAAUUCUUUAUUUUCUUAGAAUUUUUCAACAUGGAAUGCUCUUAUUGGUCAAAUUAUUCUUAUUUAUAUUUUUACUGCUCCCAAAUUAUUUUACUUAUUUAUUAAUAUUUUCUUGAAAUUCUAUUCCUAUCUGGCAAGUGCUUGUUCACAUGAUAUUUAUAUUUUUAUUAACUAAAAUGUAAUAUUAUAACUUGUAUCAUUUUUUUAUUAGUAUGCAAUUUUUUAAAUCCUAAUUGCCAAUUAGGUGGCAUGCUAUCAAUAUUGACAAUGAUUAUUUAGGAGACAAACUUGAAAGUUAAUUUAAUCAUUUUCUUUUAUAUAUAUUCAGAGCCAUGGAACAGACAAUCACUGAUUCAUUGGUUUGACCUGUUAGUCACUAGUUUGAGUGUUUGACUUGAUUUACAUCAGAAUUUGAUUGUUGCUUCCCUUUUUCUUUGAAAUUACAUUCUGAUUCCUUUGCUGUGAAGUAAAUACUGGAAAUUGCAAUUAUCAAUUCAGAUUUUGGCCCUAUUUUUCCACAACUCAGAUGGCAUCUGAGCAUAUUACUAGUUAUUUGGUAAGUCUACACAAGAUACAUAUAUGGGUUCUCAACUCUUUAACUUGGCAGUUGCACAUUGCUAAUUGUCUGUCAUGUGGCAAAGUGGGUUUCUUCUUGCUGUAUUUUUGUAUAGCGUGCCUUUUUUUUUUAUCCUUCUAAAGUGGACAAUAUGGAAGUUCCAUGCUUUAUUUCCGUUCUUUUUAUUAGUGAUGUGGAUGAUAUAUUUUACAUCUUCUCAAAGAAAUUGAAAAAUGGAAAGGCCACCAUAACUGUUGCUUUCUUCUUGGCUUGUCUAAUUCAGAUUGCUGAGGCUUUUGGAUCAACGAUAUAGAGGGAUUGCUCGUGGAGUGGGUCAAUCUGAGAUAUUGGGACGGAUACAUGUAGCUCCAAUAAAGGUAGUAAUACCUGAUGGGUUCUUGUAAGACUACCUGUUUGUUUCACCAAGCUAGUUUGUUAUUGGGUCAUCGUGUGUGCAUUGUGUUUGUGGUUGUAAAUGCAGUUUAUAAUUUUUGCCCUAUCUUUCUCUGCGAGUGUUGGUGUAUAUGCUUGUUUUUUACAAGGGCAACCAUCUUAACGAAAGGGUAUUUUAACGUAUUCCUCUUGUGCAAGCUAAAAAAAUUGUCAUAUUCCAACUACUUCCGGGCAUGAUUAAUCAUCUUUUACAUAAAUGUUAGUUUAUCUAUGUUGGUUAAAUAAUGGAGAACCUGUGGAUAAAUUUGACCUAUUUAUAUUCUACACUUUGUCUUCUUUUGGAAUUCAUUUUUUGAUCUUUGGCCAUUGAGCUCUUUCACUUCUCCAUAUAAAUACUUUGUUAUCUUGAAAAAUGUGUUUAAGAAUAUUAGGCACGCAUAUUUCGAUAUGCAUUAUACUUUUUUUCUCAUAUUUCAUUUAUAAAAUGGUGUACAAGUAUUCAACUUAGAGAUAUUUCUUGUGCAAUCAUUUGGUUGUUAUUUGUUACUAAGUAUAUACUUAAAUCUGAUACUAACUUCAUUCUUUAAUGCUUUUUAUUCUCUCCAGAUUGGGAACAUAUUUUAUCCUUGCUCCUUCCUAGUGCUGGAUUCUCCCAACAUGGAAUUUCUUUUCGGGCUCGAUAUGCUGAGAAAGCACCAGGUAGCAUCUUCCAUUGGGUUGUUAUGUGGUGAUCUACUGGAAGCAUUAUUUGUUGUGGUUUACCUGUUUCUAUGAAUUUAUUCAAAUAUGUUUGGCUGCAGUGCAUUAUUGAUUUGAAGGAGAAUGUUUUGAGAGUUGGGGGUGGAGAAGUUUCUGUACCAUUUUUGCAAGGUAAAUCAUCUGGCUUCAGGAUUUGCUGCUCUCUGCAACAUGGAUCAUGUUUCCGCUGCUUGAACCUGUUUCAAUUUCUAGUAUUCCCUGCCUUAUUCUUUCAUUUUACUUCAUAAAUUAACUUCUUUGCUGUUUCAGAAAAAGACAUUCCAUCACAUAUUCUGGAUGAAGAGAACCUUGCCAAAGAAGCAUCCAGCUCAGUAAACCCAGUAAGUCCACUCCUUUUAAUGGAAGUACAGAGCUGGUCCUUGUUGUAUGUUAGGCUUCUAACUGAACUAUUUUGUGACUAGUUUCCAAAUGCUGAUGAAAUACUUGAUUCAUUUACUGAAUUAUUCUUAAAUUGAAGUGUCAUAUAAUGUUUUUAUGUCAACAUUCAAGCUUCUUGAUGUUUGAAAAACAAUAAUUUCAUUGGAACAGUACAUGUAUCUCCCCAGCCAUUGAAGGGUAAAUUGGCUUGGGAUAUCUUUCUCAAUCCUUUGCUGUGAUUACUACUGCAAUUUCUACUAUAUUAGUGAAAACUUUAUGAUCACAAGUCGUGUUUGUGGCGCAAAUAACUCUACUUUCGUUCCGGGAUAUCCUUGGUUUUGAUGGUUAACUAAGGUCAUACUAGAAGGGCUGUAAUUUUCCUGCAUGUAAAAUCAAAGAGUUACUUUUGGAAAUAGGAAGAACAAUGAACAAGUUACUUUCUAAGAUAUCAGAUGAGCAAAGAACUGAAGGUCUACAUUCAGUUUCUUGAACAUAACAAAGAUGAGCAUUUUCAAAUUGGUUUUGGCUUUUUUAGUUUUUGAAUGGAUCCACCUUGAUUCAUCAGGGGAUAUCAGGAGCAAUGGAUAAGAAGAGCAAUGUACCUGCAGGUCAAUCUUCUGGUAAGUUUUUAUAAUUUUUGAAAUUUUUUAUGGGUUAUUCUGAUUCUGCAGCUAUUCUAACCAAUUUAAGUUAAUUUAUUUAAUUUACUAUGGUAAUAUUUGCAUGAAUUUUUAGAUUCUAGUGCUGUCUUUGUUAUUUGAGGAUUCUUUGCAGCCUGGAAAUAGUUUGUCAAAUUAUUUGCUGGGCUGUGUUCGAUAGAUGGGGUUCUUUUAGUGCCCUGGUGAGUUUUUAUGUAAUUUAGUGAUUAAUCUUUCAUUUUUGCUUGGCCUUGCAGGAGUUGCACGUGGCAAUGCAACACAGGUAAGACAUGCAUCCUUCUGCAGUUCUGUUAGUUUAGAAUUAACUGUGUUCUGAUAGUUGCUUUUAUUUAUUCUCGAAUUCAUCAAAACUUCUUGAUAAUAUGUGCAACCCCUCUCUCUCUCUCUUUUAUUUUUUUAAUAGGCAAAAGCCAAAAGAGAAAAAAGAAAAAAGAAAAAAGAAAAAAGAAAAAUCUACCAUCAACAUAACUUUAAAAGUUGACCUGAUUUUACUAUUAAGUUGCAAAGUCUUCUAUUUACUUUUUACAAUCAAGUCCUGAUAUCUUUAAAUUCACUCAAGAACUUGUCUUAUCCUUUAAGUCAUCAGUGCCUAUGCUCUUAGUGAGCACUAGAUACUUCCUCCUUUCACUCGCUACAGUACUAAAACUUCAAUUUUUUGAACUUUUUCUUUUCUUUUCUUUUCUUAUUUCACUAUUUUUUCUUCUUCCUUCUGAAAGACAAAAAACAUCUAGAUACAUAAAAAUUUAAGAAUAUCAAGAACAUAGAGCCUAUGAAAUUUCAUUUUUCAUCAAACAAAUUAGAAUAUUUUAGUAGAUUCUGUUCAAUAUCUUUGGAUCUUCAGCUUUUGUUUUAGUUUGAACUUAGAUUAUUUGAGAUAUAAUGAGUUUUAUAUCAUUAUUUUUUGGACCCUUCAUGAAUUUAAAUUGUGGUUGCGGACAACGCAAUGGUCAAUCACAAUGCAAUUUUGUUUUUCGAAAAUUUUUCAAAGUUCAGUAAAGAAAUAAAUAUUUAAGAAUUAAUUAAAGUAAGAUACAUAAUUAAAGAAUAAGCAUAUAUGCAUCAACUAAAAAAAUACAUUCUUAGCAUCAUUAGUAUUAAUCAAUUUAAAAGUUAAAUCACUAUGUAGAUAGUAAAGACUUGGGUCACUUAACCUUAUGCCUUUAAAAAUUAGUGCUUAGAAGGUUCUUGAUUAUCUUGAAUUUGAUCAUACUCUGCAAAUGUUAAUUAAAUUUAAAAGUGUCUUUGAUGCUAUUUUCCAAUUGCAUAAAUAUAUUUACUAAAAAUAAUUCUAAAGUAGUUGAAAAUUAGAUAAGGGAAAGACAAUAACCUAUAAAGGACACAACUUGGCAUAAAUUCUUGAACAAGAUAAGCAAAAGACACGAAAAAACCAAAGCCAGAGAAUCCACCUCGCAAAAUAUGAUUGUAGAUUGCUCGCUUUCAUAAGAAGCUUUCACUAAUCGAUGAUCUCAGCUCAAGAAGUAAAGGGCUUGAAAGUUGAGAAAAAAAUGAGAAACAUAAGUGGAAACCUCUAGAAAUCAUAAACAAAAGAGUGAAAUUAGCUGGUUUCCCCCCUCUGAAUCAAAAAUAAAAAGGAAUCCCACACGAAUAACUAUCAUUAUCAUUAAGUUUCUUGCACUUGCAUUUUUCUCAUAGAUAAUGAAAAUGAUGGUAAUCGAGCCUUCAAACCUAUAGAUAAUGAUCACUAGAUUGUGACAGGCAUUAGUUAUAACAUGAACAAAAUUUAUGUCAAGAUAAAUUUUAGAUGGUUAAUUUUGUGGAUUAUUUUGAAAUUUUAAUAAUUAACUUGAAAAUUUAAGUAAGAUAUUAAAUAAUUCAUAUUCCAACUUAUAAUUUAAGUAAAAAAUAGGAGAUUAAAAAAAUUGAACAGAAAAAUUGUUGAAAUAUUUUGAUUUUAUUGUGAAGAAAGAAAAUUCCGUGAGAAACCGUUUUGAUUGUUGAUCAUUAAUUGGAAGUUCCUUUUUCUGUUUGUAUGAUGAAUUUGGACAAGUGUAAUGGCUAAUUUGAAUAUGAAUUUUUGUUUACUGUCACUCUCAGGGACCUGAGUUUGAAGCCAAGGUUGUAAAGCUCGUUGAGUUAGGAUUUGGAAGGGAUGCCGUGAUACAAGCUCUUAAAUUAUUUGAUGGGAAUGAAGAACAAGCUGCUGGAUUCCUUUUUGGUGGUUGAAGACAACUCCUCAUGUAUUCUUUAGUUUCUCAUUCAUUGUGGGGAAAAAUAUUGAUCUCAGUAAUUUAAUGACAGCUUUACAAAUUCAGAAGGAAGAAAAGAAAGGUUUUCAGAAAGAAAAGGACAAUUUGCUUCCACAAACUAGUUUUGCAAUUCAAUGGAAAGUAAAUUUAACAGUUACUGAUUUUCUUUCCUUAUUUAUUUCAACUUAACCAUGGAAAAGACAUCUGAUGGUGUUUAUUGGCAUUUCUAUUUUCCCGAUAUAUCUGGUGUGUUAAAUUUUGAGCAACUAUAGUUAUGAGUUUUGGCUUUAUGGUAUGUCAUUCAUCAGACUAUUCCGGAAGUUUCUGCAGCAGCCAUUCAAAGAGCUAAGAGCUGAGGAAUUCAAUAGAAGAAUCUGCAGCAAUUAAUUAGUAAAGGGAGUCUAUAUAUGAGCUAGAAAGCUGGUGUGAGGUAGUCCAGUUGUGGGGAGGAUUAGGUAUUGAUACGAAGAUAUAUCAUCUGUCAGUACAUAUACUUCUCUAUUUUUUCUGUGGGAUAAUGGUCAAAAAAAUUUUAAAUUAUUUGCGAUUUAAUAAAAAUUCUGUAUUUUUUAUAUUUUAAUAAAUAUAUUCUAAAUUAUAAAAAUUAAUUAAUAUGUUUUAAAUUAACUAUUUAAAUUUAUUUAUAUUAUACUAUUAUUUUAAUCGGUUUAAAAAUUAAUAUUUUAAUAUAACUCAAAUAAAUAAUUAUCAAUAAAAAAUUUAAAUUUUACACAUUUUAAUAAUUAUAUUUCUAAUUUGUUUUAAUAAAUAUAUUUCAAAUUAAUUUUUUUUAUUUGUUUAAUUUUUCAUUUUGAUUUGAUUUAUAAUUUUGUAGGACAGAUUUCUAAGAGUCAUAAUUUAUUUUUUUAUUUUUUUUAUUGAUAAAUAUAAUUUUUUCCUAAUUAUUGAAUAUAGGUGUUGUGAUAAUAAUACUAGUAAUAAAUCAAGAAUUAUGAUUUUCGCUUAUAUCCACUUUAAUAGAAUUAAAAGUUAACAAUCAAUCUAAUUAAUUUAAUUAAUCUUCUCAUUGCAUUUAUAAUUUAUAAUUAUAACUAUACAAAAGGUUGCAUUUACUGACAAAAAAAUAUUUAAAAAUGAGUUAUGAAUUCCUAAACAUAUGUCAAGCCGAAAUUAUAAAUGUAUCGAAUCAAAAUAAAAAAUUAAAUCAAAUUAAAAAAUCGAUUUGAGGUAAAUUUGUUAAAAAAAGUUUAGGAUAAUUAUUAAAAUUUAUAACAUAUGGAGUUUUUUUUAAUAAUUAUCACUCAUAUUAAAAGAUUAAUUUUUAGUUUAGUGCCGAAUAAUAUAUUAUGUUUAAGAGGAAGUUGCGGGAGUAUGUGUUGUGAGCCGGACGCUAUUGAAUUUUAUGAAGAGUUAUUAGUGAUAACUCCAUCUUAGCAUGAUUUAUUGUGUUAUGACACAUCAAAUAUAUAUUUUAUUAAAAUGUUUUAUAUUAUAUUUCUAUUUACUAGAUUAUAACGGCUCAUUCCUGUUCAGUAGUUUUCUAAGUAUAAUUCUUUGUAUAAUAGUUUAGCUUUGAACUUAUGAUGUUGUUAUGGUUUAUUACUGUGCUUGUUAGGAACUUCUUUUAUGACCUCCUUAUUGAUGAUAUUAGUAUAUAAAAGUUUUGAUUUCAUAUUAUAUUUGAAUUAAACUGUGAUAUAUAACAAUGAUUAUUGAUGAGAAUUCUAAUACAAAUUUAAAUUUAUAAUUAUAUAUAUACCUAUUGAAUUUGGCUCAUAUUAUGAUAAUAUUUUAUGUACAAUCACGUAGAGAUUAUUAGAUAUAAUUAAGUGUAUAGUAAGUUCGCUUUGUGCUCCGGCAAUUUUAAGUUUAUUUAAAUCUCGAUAUCAAUAACAGUUCGAUUUUUAAAUUAUAUACUAUUUAAUAUUACUUUUAAAUUAUAAAAAAUAACUUUAUUAAAUAUAUUUUUUUUUUGAAAUAGGGGUUGGGGGAGUCGAACCUUAGACCUUUCAAGACUACAGGAUGCAUUUUCCACCAGGCUAAGCUUUGGAGUGCAUUAAAUAUAUUAUUUAUGUUUCACUUUAUAUUUUUUUUUCUAAUUUAAUUCUAUUUUUUAAAAAAAAUUUAAUAAUUUUAUUUAAAACUUGUGAAUUAUUAAAAUUCUACUCUAAAACUUAUUGACAUGACAUAAUGAUGUACGAUGACAUAUUAGAUAACAUGAUAAUUUCAUUAAACCUCUAAUAUUAUAAGUAAUUUAGCAUAAUUUUAAAAUAUUAAAAUUUAAUUUAAAAAAAAAUUAUAAAAAUAUUGUAGAAAAUGUAUUUUUUUUAAUGAUUGUCUCUUAUUUUAAUUAUGCAUUAACAAUUAAUGGAAUGGGCGCAUAAUGUAAGGAAGCUCUCCUCUGAAAAAACAAAACAAAACAAAAUAAAACAAAACAAAACAAAACAAAACAUAUUGCUUCUUGCCAAGAAAUGACAACUACAUCACCCAAUGUGCUGAUUGCUAAAUAAAGUUUAAAAAAUGGAGACCUUUUAAUAUAUAUAUAUACAACAGCGUCGGCCCCUUUCUCAAUUUCAAUCAUUUCUCUAUUAUUUAGACAAACAUUAUAAUGAAAUUGAUAACUUUAUUAUAAAUACUAAUUAUAAUGAAAUUCAUAUAAAUUUUAUCAUAAUUAAUAAUUAAUAUAUAAUCAUUCUAUAUACCAUAAUUAUAUUCAAUAUUUUUUAAUUAUUUAAUAUAAACUUAAUUAAUAAAUUAUAUGUAACUUUCAUCCUAAUUAAUAGUUAAUAUUUAACUAUAUAUAUAUAAAACGAUCACUUUGAAUAAUUUUCUCGGGAUUAUAUUUUCAAUAGAAUAUUAUAAUAAAAUUUUAGUUCUGUUGGGUAUUGUUUUUAAAAAUUUAUUUUGCAAUCUUUUGAAAUUAAAUAAAUUUUUUUAAAAUUUUAAUUUUUAUAAUAAAAUUAUCAAAAAUUUAUCUUUAAUUUAUAAUUUAACAAAAAGUAAUUAAUAAAAAAUAAAAUAAAAUAGAAAUAAGAGUGAUUUUUUUUUUUGUAAAAAUGUAAACUAUUUAUAAUAAAAAAAAUAUACGUCAUAAACUGUAUAAAAAUUUUGAGAUAAUAUAAUAAAAUUAUAACGGUCAAAUUUAAAAAUCUUACAAAUAAAAUUUUUAACGACCAUAAAAUAUUUAAUUAUUAUAAAAUUUUUUGAAAUCUAAAUUUAUUUUACAACAAUCCAACAUAUUUUAAAAGAUUUGUUAUUAUUAAAUUUAAAAAUUUAAUAUAUAUAUUUUGAAUUUGAUAUUUUUUACACUAUAAAUCGAAUUUAGAUUAAUAAGAUUUAACAUAUAAAAUAAUUGGUGAAACUUUUAUUUUUAUAAACAAAAAACUUUCUUUAUAUAUUAAUAUCCCAUCAAUUUCAUAAUAUUUUACAGAAUUUAUCAUUAACCUGAUCUAAAAAAAAAUUUUAUUAGACCAGGAUUUAAAAAUUUUGUUUUAACGUAAAACUACAAAAAGCCCUGAUUAUUUAUAUGUGCAGUGGGGAGCUGGCUUCCUUUAUAAAGGAUGCCAAUAAUUCUUAUUCUCUACAUAAAUUGCGUUAUAAUUUAAUCUUUGAAUAUUAUCAUUAUUAAUAAGUAAGCCUUUGUAUUUUCUGAAACCUAUUAAAACGUCCUUAUUUUAUUUCUAUCAUCAAAAUAGUUAUUUCGUAUAUUUCUGCCGUUAAAAAUAUAGCAAAAAAUUAAAUUACCCCCUUCUUUUCCUCCUCUUUCUCCUUCUUCAUUGAUCCUUCUUCAUUGAUUCUUCUUCUUCUUCGAUUUUUUUUUUCAAUUUUUUUUUAUUCUUCUUCUUUAAAAAAUAUUUUUCUUUUUCUUUUUCUUCAUUAUCUUCUUCUUCUCUUUCUUUUUUUUUCUUUUUCUUUUUCUUCUUAUUUUUUUUUCUUUUUCUUCUUUCUUUUCCUUAUUAUCAUCAUCUUCUACUUUUUUUUCUCUUUUAUUAAGGAGAAAAAGGAGAAAGAGGAGAGACUAUUUUGUUAACGGAAAGAAACGAUAAGAACAUUUUAAUAGAUAUAAGAAAAAAUAAGACGUUUUAAUAAAUCUUUAAAAAUGUAGGAAUUAACCUGUUAAUAAUAGUAAUAUCUAAAAACUAAAUAAAGGGUUUUAUUUAAAAGCAAAAUUAAAUUUUAAAAAUCUUAUCUCUCAUACUUUAUCUAUUUUUAACGGAAAAAAUGACAGAAAGAUUAUUUUGUUGAUGGAGAGAAAAAUUAAAAACGUUUUAAUAGAUUUCUAAAAAUAGAGGGACUGACUUGUUAAUAAUGGCAAUACCUAAAUGCUAAAAUAUAAAUCUCCCAAAUAAUUAACUAUAUAAUUAUUUUCAAAAAUUUUAUUUUAAAAAAUUUUAUUAUUAAAAAAUAAAAUAAAAAAAUAUAUAUAUUGAUCGUUAAUAUUCUCUCCCUUCCUCCUCCAAAAAUGAUUUUAUUUCAAUUUUUAAAAAUACUUAUGCUAAUCUAUCAUGAAGAAAAAUUAUUAUCAUUAACCUAUAUAAAAAAAUUUAAUUAAUAUGUUGAGAAUAAUUAAAAGAGUAAAUGAAAUAACAUCUCUUACUUGUCAGUACCAAUGUGCGGUUGUAAGAGUAUAUUUUCAUUAGAUAAAUUUGUAUAAAUAGAUUUGUUAAGUAAAUGUGAAACUUUUUAUAAAAAAAACAUUAGAGACAAUAUUUCCUUUUAAAUAUUAUUAAAAAAGAGUAUUAUUUUCUUUUCUAUUAAAAAGUAUAAAAAAGAAAUUUAUUGGCCUAAGGGGCACUCAAAUAGCUUUGCCCCUGUAUAUAUACACACAUAUAAGCCAUCAUAAAAGUUGGAUAGCAAAAUAAUUCCAGAACUCUUAAAACUUCAAAGAAGAAUCACAAACAAAUGAUGGCCUUGUUGUAUUUUUUUAAGAUUAUGACUUGAUUCUAGUGCUAACUUACUACAGCAAUAGCAGAGAAAAGAAAGCAGAGCACUACGCAUCAGAACCGAGUGACUCAUCCAUUCAAGUCCAUCCUAAUAAAACAGUUCAGGCCAUAGGCAAGUAGAUUAUGCAAGUUAGUCCAGUCACUUAAGAAAGUUAAACUGGCCUCAACAGAUGCUACUUGGGCACUAAAUAUUUGAGCUAAUCUUAUAAGCAGAAGUGUUGAAGAACGAUAGGGACAGCACCAGACAACAAACAAAAAUCCAUUAUCAACUGAGAAUAAAUAACAAGUCAGAAAUGAAUGAUAUUCAUAUCUUUUAAAUGAAACAAGGCCUUUGAUAUGGAAAAUUCAUGCCAAGUUACAACCACAAACUUCCUCUCACCAUGACAUAUCAGAUCUCAAAAUAAAGCUAACUAGUCAGAGGUUAAAAAAAGCCGCAUUUAAAAUAAUUAAAACCUCUCUGCCAAUCUAGCACUAACUUGCCUAAGCUUCGAGUAUACCUUUCCAGCAGGGGACCCUAAAAUGAGGCUGCAGAGGGAAUCCCUGGCAAUUUUAAUGUUUUGAAAUGAUCCUAAUAUGUGAAUCUUGGUAUCUGCGAUCACAAUCCUUGUUUUUGUAGCAUUCUCAAUAGCAAACUUGGUUUUGCCACCUUUACCCGACAGUCUUCCAAUGGCACGAGAUAAGUGCUCACCUCUAAGGGUUUUAACAUCUUUGAUUUCAAAAGAUUCCACAUAUAGCUCAUCCAAUCUCAAAAGUGCAAUAGCAUCUAUAACAUCGAAACCUAGCAUAAAAGCAUGUACAAAAUCUGCACACUUCUGCAGGUUACUAACAUCAGGUGUAUCUGAUCUGGUUUUUAAUUCAACCUUUCUAGCCUUGAGAUUCAUUCGGAUGUCAAUUUUCAGCUGCUCAUAUAUUGGUGUGUAGAUUUCCAUCCACGCUUUCUUAAGUGGUGAAUACCUAUGUGGUGGAACUGAAACCUUCCUGAACUGAACUCGACCAUCAGACAUCUCAUGAGCCUUCAGAGGCUCGAACUUUGGCUUAGGUGGCAGUGAAAAUGACCCAGUAUUUGUUCCCAAUCCAUUUGGCAUGGUUUCUACUUCCAUUGAAGCAGGGGCUUCACCAGACUGCAUUGUGAUACACCACCAAAUUUCUGCCAUUACAAAGAUUUGAUCCAUGAUGAUAUAUUCACUGGAUACAACCAUCCUAAUUGCUCUAACAACAGCAUCUAGUCCACUAUAAAAUAAAAAUAAUUCCACGACACACAAGAGAAAGCUAUAUACAUAAUUACAUAUAUACACACACAAAAACCAAAUAGGAAACAGACAAAUUGGGAUUUUUCUUUUAAUAGAAUUAGAUACCCUCGACACAAAUUGGAUUUUUUUCUUAAUUUUAAUAAUUGAGUCGGUCCUAGAGAUGGACCAGGCGGUAAUCUUAUUGAUUAGUCAUGGCUAGAUUUCGAAAAUAAGUCGAUCUACUUCUGAAUAGAAAUUAUUAAAAAUAAAAGGAAUUAACCAAAUUUUAAGCGGUAGGAACCGAAGUAAACCAUGCGCCUAAUCAACUAAAAAGUAGGAGACCUUCAAUUGCUAAACCUGAUCUUAUUGUUCACAAACAAAUAAUCAGAAGUUUAAAUCCAUCCACGAAAAGGGUCGAAUUCAAGACACUUCCAAAGCAAUCCAGAUGAAAGCAUAUUAAUGCUUCAAAGACAAUGAGGUACGAUUUUUAUAAUUAAUCAACAACAUAAUUUCAACAUUCAAAACAUUAUUAUUGAAAAAGAAAAAGGAAAAAAUUUCAAUCAUCUCAAUUGCUUACCUUAAAAAGAACAAAGUUGAAAGCGGCAGAGACGAGGACACGGGCGAAAAUAAGCAAUUGAGCGGUUUCCCGCCUGCAGAAGAGUGAAAGAGAGAGCUUCAAAGGAGAUGGCUUAGACAAGGUGGGCGGUCGACGGUCGUCUGAGAUAGAGAAAGGCAAACAACAGCGCGCGUUGGGUGAGCAGGCUUCUGAGACUGCAACAAAGGGUUGUGACGAAAGGCUAUGAGAAAGAACGAGAGGUUAGGGUUUUUCUUUUGGAUGAAACCCGUUGAUCCAAACUACAGUGUUUCUGCGGAUGAUUUUUUUUUUUGGCGAAAAAAUCCUGCCCAUGAAUUUAUAUUAAUUUUUUUAAAAUUACUAUUUAAUAGUUUGAAAAAGUAAAUUAAAAUGUAUCUAAAGUUUUUAAAGGUUUAUAAUUAUUAGCCGGUGUAAUGCGGUUAGUUUUUAAGUUUUUUUUUUUAAGCGAAGAAAUUUAUUAUUAUAAAUUUAAAUAUCAAAUAUCAAUAAAAAAGAAUUUCAAUGUUUAAUACACAGAACGGAUAAUUUGUACUAAUAUAUAAAUAACCACAUUUGCAGAUAGACAAACAUACCGAAAAGAAACAAUAAAUCUCUUGUACAAUCAUUAAUAAUUAAUCCAAAAGAGUCAUCAAAAUUUGAUGACUGAAAGGACAAAAACCAAGCAAGAUGUGUCAGACUCAAGGAUAAUAUUCUGCCAUCCACAAUUCCUAAUCCAAUACAAAGCUUCCCACACGCCAAUGGCUUCAGCAAUAUUAUAUAAAAAUAUGCCAAGGACCGUGAAAGACUAAGCUGAAAAGCUCCAUAAUGAGCACCAGUCACCAUACCAAUACAUGUGUGAGUACCAUGAACAGUAGUAGUAAUAUCACAUUAAUCUUUAUCUUCCCUACGGGCAGACACAAUCAACACAUAAGUGGAUUAACAUGUACACACACCGGAUCAUUCAACACUUGUUUAGCCAGUCUCCAAGAUUCUAAAUAUUGGACUGCAAACUGUGCAAUGUUGAAAGGUGAAGAAACAACCGAAUCCCAAAUCUUUUUAUUUCAAUGAAACCACAAACUCCAACAAGUAGUGAGAAGAAGAGCAUGCUCAUUACAUAUAUCAGUACCAGCACCCACACACCAGUAACUUCCUUGCUGUAAUACAUUCUGAGAUGACCAUAAGCUGUGCAAGUAUAGCUUGAAUUACACCCAAGAGAGGCUUCCAUAAUAGAACAACGGGGAUAAUAACGUGCCUUCAAAACUUUAGCCACUAAGGAGCCAGGGAACACAACAAAAUAAUUGCUUACCAAGCAUAGCAAUAUUGAAAGAACACAAAACUUUUAAAACCCAAACCCCCUGAAUUUUUAGCUUGACAUAACCUCCUCCAAGACAUCCAAUUAAUACCACGAGCACCACUUCUACGCGAGCCCCCCAAAAAAAAUAUUCAUCAUCCUUUCCAAUUCAGCAUAGAGAGAAAUGGGAAGAAAUCACCCAUCUUAUAAUUGAGAAGCGCUUGAGCCACUGUCUUAAGUAAAAUUUCCUUGCCCGCGCGUCAAAGGAACUUUUGGUUCCAAGCGUGCAGUCGGUUCCAAACUCGAUUUUUAAUGAAAGCAAAAACCUCUUUCUUCGAUCGAUCAAUCAUUGAUGGCAGGCCUAAAUAUUUACCCAGAUUCAGUGAAGCACCCACUCCGAGUAUUGAGGAGAUUUGCACUUUUUCAGCAGAAGAAACCGAAGCACUAAACAUCAGCUGGGAUUUAUUUAGAUUGAUGGAUUGUCCAGAAGCUAACUUAUAGGACAUAAGUAAAUCUUUUAUGCACGUAGCUUCUAGUCUUCUACUGAUGUUGCCCUAAAGAACAGCAAGCUAUCAUCAGCAAAAAACAAAUGGCUAAUGCUAGGAGCUCCUCGAGCGACACGAUAACCAUGAAUAUGUCCUUGGUUUUCAGUAUUUUGAAUAAUUGUAGAAUUGUAGACAAGCCUUCAGCACAUAGAAUGGACGUGUAUGGAGACAAUGGGCAUCCCUAUCGAAGACCACGAGUAGGAACAACUGGACCAACAUCUACACCAUUAUGUAGAAUAGUAUAUCUCACUAUGGUAAUGUAUAACAUAAUCAAGGAAAUAAAUUGCUGAUGGAAACCCAACCUCUCCGAUCAUUUAAAGAUAGGACCAUUCUAAUGGAUCAUAUGCUUUCGACAUAUCAAGCUUAAGAGAUGCGUAACCAAGCCUCCCUUGAGUACGACGCUUCAAGUAAUGAAGAAUUCAAAGCCAAUAAGAAAAUGAUCUACAAUACUUCGUCUGGAACAAAAGCACUUUGAUAAGGACCUAUAACAUCAGCAAGAAUACUCUUAAGACUAUUAGCUAAAUCUUAGCCACUAUCUUAUAAAGGACAUUACACAAUGAGAUAGGUCGAAAAUUACUCAUUGUAGUAAUGAGCACAAUUAGAGUAUCAUUCAAUCCCCUAGGAAAUUGACCUGUAGUUAAAAUACUGGNNNNNNNNNNNNNNNNNNNNNNNNNNNNNNNNNNNNNNNNNNNNNNNNNNNNNNNNNNNNNNNNNNNNNNNNNNNNNNNNNNNNNNNNNNNNNNNNNNNNNNNNNNNNNNNNNNNNNNNNNNNNNNNNNNNNNNNNNNNNNNNNNNNNNNNNNNNNNNNNNNNNNNNNNNNNNNNNNNNNNNNNNNNNNNNNNNNNNNNNNNNNNNNNNNNNNNNNNNNNNNNNNNNNNNNNNNNNNNNNNNNNNNNNNNNNNNNNNNNNNNNNNNNNNNNNNNNNNNNNNNNNNNNNNNNNNNNNNNNNNNNNNNNNNNNNNNNNNNNNNNNNNNNNNNNNNNNNNUGUAAAAAGCCCUAAAAUACUUAGACAAGUAUCAGUAAAAUAUUGCCCAAUUAUAUCCCAAAAGUGUUGAGAGAAAUUCGGGUUCAAACCAUCUGGAGCAGGGGAUUUGUCCGAGUGCAUAGAAAAAAUAGUUGCCUUAACUUCAUCAGCAUGAAACUGACCGAUCAAACGAGAAUUGUGAUCAGCAGUAACACGAUUGGAUAGACAAUUCACCACACCUACAACAUUCACCCUCUGACCACAGAACAAAGUAUUAAAAUAGUCAAGCAUAUGAUCCCCAAAAGCAUUUAUUCCUUCAUACCAAGUACUCGAGGAAUCUCACAACUUAACAACUUGAUUUCUAUCUAUUCUUGAUGACGCUUUAUUAUGAAAAAUCGAGUAUUUUCAUCACCAAAAUGUAACCAACACUGCUUACUGCUUUGCUUUCAGUAAAUCUCUUGUUGGAGCAAAGCUUGUUGGAGCUGCCUCUUAAUAUGAAAGAAAGUUUCAAUAUCAGUUGCAUCCCUAGACCGAUGAAGACUUCUAAUUUGUCCCUUCCAGACUAAAAUCAUUGUCCGUCAGUUUCCUUUAUUUUUCCUAUUUCAACCAGAUAACUCUCGACUAUACAAUUUGAUCUUAUCCAAAAUAGAAGAACCACCCAAGAGAUUCCAACUGUGCUAUACAACUGUUCUAUAAUUAGACUCACUAAUCCAAGAAUUUUCAAAUCUGAAAUGUGAUACACAAGACCGGAUGGGUGAUAAUAGUGGCUCCAAAACAAUUGGCAAAUGAUAUGAGGAUGAAUAAGAUAAAGAAGACAAACAAACAUUCGAAAACUGAGAAUGCCAAACAAUUUUUACCAAAGUUCUAUCAAGCCUUUCUUCAACCCAAUGUGGUAGAACCUCAGCCACGCUCCCAAGUAAAUUCGUUAUCUUACAAUGGCAAAUCAAUUAAAACAGUAUCAACAAAUGCAUGGCGAAAACCAUCUAUAAGCCAACAAGAUUGAGGUGCAUCCCCUCUCUUCUCAUUUACAGAUAAAAUAUCAUUGAAAUCUCCCACACAGCACCACGCUUGAGAAGAUGCAAGAGACAAGAUUACGUAAAAGCUCCCAAGAAAGCCUUCGCUGUGUACGGUUUGGAUGACCAUAAAAACCCGCCAAUCUCCAAGAACCCAUAUUCACAACAGACACUGAAACAAAUAUGAUGAGCAAAGAAGCUAAGGAUAACCAUGCAUCCUUUUUCCAAAACAAUGCCAACCCUCCACUACGGCCCCUACAAUUAACGGAAAACACACUUUCAUAACCCAGAGAAACACGAAGAGAUUCUAAUCUAUCCGAGAAGAUAGAUUCUCAAUAAAAGAAUAUAUAUAUAUAUAUAUAUAUAUAUAUAUAUAUAUAUAUAUAUAUAUAGGCUGCGUAUCUCUUACAAAUUCAUGCAAAAACAGAAUUGCCCGUGGAUUGCCCAAACCACCGCAGUUCCAGCUCAAGGUCAUCAUGGCUCUCGGCAGACCUGUCCCACGAUUCCCGCCGUUACAUCAUUUUUUGCCUGAGUUGAAGCUUCAGACAUAGCUACAAUUGGUACAAUAGAGUGGACUUUAGAAAUGCCAUCUUCUUUACGACGUUGCUUAGAAUCAACAAUUACAACCCCAUCAGGUAAAUUGGUAAAGUCACAUGCGUAGGAUUAGAAGUUGAUAUUAAAUCAACAGCUAGAUCCAUAUCAUGAUUAACACCGAAAGUAGAAGUCGGUUCCAUUCCAAUAAGGUGGCCAUGCAAGCCACGUCCAGGACAGUUAUUUUUUGGCACAGUUAUUGUAUCCUGAUUAGCAGUAACUGCCACCAAUGCCUCCUCCCUCAACCAAUAGUCCCCAAUCGCCUGAGAUGAACACCGACCAGCAUCCCAUAACCAUAUACCAUAAGAACGUUGCAAUGGCAACGAAUUCAGAUCAAAUAGAGAAGCACAUAAACGCUCUGAAUGACCGAGUUUACCACAAAUAAAACAAAAAAUUUGUAAUCGCUCAUUUUUGAAAGAGAUCCAAAUCCAGUCACCACCAUCUUUCUUAAUUUUCAUUCGGCGUUUUAAUGGAACGCAAACAUCCAACUUGCCCUGAUGUGCAUAUACGGACUCUAAUAACAAUUGAAGUUUGAUGGAUUAGAGGCCACAUACUCACCAACAUAAUUGCCAAUGGAAGCAGCAACACACUCAGACAUAAAACCCAAGGGAAAAAUCAAAUACCUGAACCCAUAUAAGAGUCUGAAACAACAAUGCAGAAGUUCACUUUUUUGCAUUUUAAUUAAUUAAUUAAUUACAAGAAUAUGAAAAAGCAAAAACCAAAAUUCAAUUCGUCAACUAGAAAAAAAAAUUAACAGUUGUUUGCUAAUUUUAAAUAUGAUUUAAAUAGUUAAAAAGGGAGAAAAAAAUAUAAAUUUUGAAAAAUUAUUGAACUAUAAGCAACAUAAGUAUGCUGGAGUUGAUUAAUGAAUAAGAAGCUUAAACAAUUUGCCAAGCACAGUAACAAAAACUUGAAAAAUCAUUUUUCUUUUAAAGUUUACUGGCUCGAUCCAAAUUUUAUAAAUUUUUAUAUUUAUAGCUUAAAUUUUUAAUUUUUGAUAAAAAAUUUUAAUUUUUGAAUUUGUUGUAAUUAUAUAAUAAUUUUUAAAUUAAUUUUAAUCAAAUUUAAAUUAAUUUACACGGUAUGAUCUAUAUAAUUAUUUUUAUUACAUGUGUAAUUUGAUUAACUGAAAUUAAAUCUCAAUUAAAAUCUUAAACUUUUAAUUACACGAAAUUUCUUAAUUAUAUAAUUGAAAUAUUUAAUUAUCUUAUAAUUAAUUAAGAAUAUUAAUUAAAGAUUUUAGAUAAUUAGGGGUUUAAAAUCUUAAUCAAAAUCGAGUUAAAAAGAAAAGUCUUAAUCCAAGUUCAAUUCAAAUUAAUCAAAUUAAUUAUAUGAUAAAAAUAAUGCCAUAUAGUGUAUCACGUGAGCUAAUUUAAAUCUGAUUUAAAUUAAUUUAGAAAAUUUGUUAUAAUUAUAAUAAAUUUAAAAAUUGAAUUUUUUGAUUCAAAAUUAAAAAUGUAGAUUAUAAAUAUAAAAAUUCAUAAAGUUAGAUCGUUUUGAUCAGAACUACUUUUUUAUUAUCAUUCAAAUUCAAAAGUAUAAAAUUAUAAUAUUAUUAUAGCAAAUCAAUACAAACUACAUGAAUUUAUCAUUAAACUUUCCUCUCAAGACCAAUAAAAAGAAGAUAGCAGUUCAAAAAAGUUACAUGGUAUACAUUAAUACAAUUUAAAAUUCAAAAGGUUUUAUUACAUCGACAGGAAAGAUAACAUAAUUUAGGAAUGAAGAUUAGUAGUAAGUACAACAAUAAAACUCUCAAUUAAUUAUCUACUUAAUUUUAAUCACAAGAGGGGUCUUGACCUUAUGCUUCUUAUCGGACCAUAAUAGCUCGCCAUAGACAUAGCCCUCGUGCUUGCUGCUAUUGACAAUAGGCUUAAGAGUAACCUUAUAGAUCUUCUCUUCACCAGCUUUUGAAAAUGUAAGACUUUCAGGUUCAACUUCAAUUGAAAUUCCAGGGGGUGCAAGGACAUGGACAUUAUAGGUCCCAGGAGAGCCUACAUUCUUGACUCUACGAGAUAUGGUGGUCGAGCCUUUUAGAUUUGGAACUGUGAUCGAAGGGUAGUUGAAUGCAGAUACACUGAAAUGCUUAGGACAUGUAAAAGAAUUAUUCCCGAAUGUUCGGAUAAAGGAUAUGUUGUACUUAUGGUGACAAAGAAGGUUUAGAUAAUCAUUCAUGAUUAAGUCAUAAACUAGGCCAGGAUCUGCUGCACGGUUUGGCUGUACGUGACCAGCACCGUAUGCAAAUGGUGUUGCAUUUUUCCCAUCUGCAUCAAGUAUAUGCUUCCCAUUGUCGGCUUUUGUAGUUGCUGCAGGUGUAAUAGGUUGAUUUCGUUAGCUCUAGCUAAACCAGUAAUAUUUCAGGGUCGGAAAAAAAGAGAAAGAUUAGAUGAUUAGACCGGUAGUCAUAAUGGCGGAUUUGAUAGCAGCAGAACUCCAAUCUGGAUGAAGUGAUUUGAGAAGACCAACAAUACCGGCGACGUGAGGGCACGACAUUGAAGUGCCAGAUAUUAUGUUAAAAGGACUGCGACGCUCAUCAGAUAUAGAGUCAGAUGGCGAUACUGCUUCGGAAUAUGCAGCUAGUACAUUAACUCCAGGUGCAGUGAUGUCAGGCUGAUACAAUAUACUUCAAAUUAAACAUUAGCUAUAAAAUGAUUUAUUUGCAUAAAAAAGAGUAUUUUUCUAACUUGGGCAGAUUUAAUAGGCCAAGUAUUUAACAAAUCGAAUAAACCACUAAACUAACCUUAAGGAUCUCUGGAUCAAGUGAAUUAGGUCCCCUAGAUGAGAAUGCUGCCAUCUCUGGAGCUAGAACAUUGAUCCCCAAUUCUGUCUUUACCGAAGAGAUUGAUGCCGUGGCAUUUCUGUUUGAACGACAUAAAACCAUAAAUGAGUUAAUAUGUAAGAAUUAAUCUUCAAAUUGUUCAAAUUCAUCAAUGAAAUAGCAUUCGAAAUAUACUUGGUGGAAUUCAAGUAAGCAAGAGCCACUAAACCAUCUGUGUAAUUGAUAUGUGAGGCUGGCAAGAUAUGAGGAUCAGCUAUAAUUUCAUUCCCAGUUGAUUGAUCAUUUGCUAUUAUCAUCCCAAUAGCACCUGCUCGAGCAGCUUCAAUUCCCUUCUCUGGUCUUCCAAUAUCACCACCUCGAAGGCAGACUAUGAUCUUCCCUGCUGCCUUGUGAGGAUCAAGUGUUCCAGGUCCGCAUAGUGUACUGCAUCGGUCACAUUUUAAGUAACUUUAAACCAAUAAAGCUCCCUACGGAUAAAACUGAAGUUUUCAAAUUAACCACUCACGCAUUUUCAACUGUGGAGUUAGAAGCUUUUGCGUCCGCAGCAGAUAUCAACGGAUAAGACUUUCCAGCAGGCAAGGCUUUGUCCGAAAGACUUGUUCCCUGGACAUCAAAAUAACAAAAGUUUUCCUUGAACAUUUACUUUCUGCUUAUGGAUGAUGAUAAUGGAUACAGAUCACACAAGUUCAUACCUUUAGACUCUUAUCGUUGCCAAGUAUAACAAAGUUAGUGAAAUCGCGAUCCAUUGUACUUGCACCAAUGGUGAAAACCCAUGGUGCAACAUUAGAUGAAGUAAAUUCAUCUGGUCCAUCAUUCCCAGCCGAAGCAACUACACUCAUCCCUCUACUCACUGCAGCUAAGGCUCCAAUGGCUAUUACGUCUAUAUUAUAAUCUAUCGCACCAGCUCCACCUAAUGAUAAUGAGAGCACAUCCACUCCAUCACUUAUGGCUGCAUCAAUUCCAGCCAAGAUAUCUGCAGAAAAGCAGCCAUCGGCCCAGCAGACUUUGUAAGCUGCCACUCGAGCUUUGGGCGAUCCACCUUUAGCUGUUCCAUUGCCAUAACCAAAGAUACUUGCUCCAGGGACAAAGUUGCCACCAGCUGUGGAUAAGGUGUGUGUGCCAUGUCCAUCAGUGUCCCUCGCAGAUAGUUCAGUUGUGUUGGGGCCAACUUCUGCACUAAGGCCUUUGUAGAAGUACCUUGCUCCUAUGAGCUUUCUGGGCAUAUAACAAAAUUGUGUUUUUUUUUUCUUUAGGAUCUCAGUGGAUCUUCAGUGCAUUACAAUUAAAAUAUUAGCAAAAGAGAGAAAGAAUGGACCUGUUACAGCGAACUCCACCUUCAGUCUGACAAAAUCCUUUCCAUCUUGAUGGCACAGGUCCCAUCCCCUCAUCGUUAAAGCUCUUUGACUCAGGCCAAACACCUUGUGACAUGGUACCCAUAAAUAUAUGAGCUUCAUAAAGUUAAGAAAAUAAGAGUUAUCAACCCAAUACUUGCUAAAGAAUAGCAUACUCACCUGUGUCUAAGUUUGCAAUAAUCACAUCUUGACCAUAUUUUGCCUUUUUCCAAAUGGAGUUUUUAGUAGCAGCUCCAUUAUUGUUCUCUAAUCCAAGAAAUUCCCAUGAAUGGGUUGUGUAUAGUUCAUACUUUCUAUUCAAGAAAACUGAUUGGACAUUUGGAUUAUCUGCAUCCAUUUAAACUUGAUUAAUUAAGCUAUAAAAAAAUUGAACUGGUUUAAAAUUAAUAGGAACUGAAAAUUACUUUUAAGUUGUUCUGCUUGUUGUUCAUCAAGCAUUGCAGCAAAACCAUUCACACAUCUUGUGUAAGAGUAAAAAAUUUCAGGUUGGUCCUGCUUUCCACUGCAUUAGAGAGAAGAUUGUAAAUCUUUUCAAUUCUUUUUACAUUAUCAAAAAAUAAUUACAUAAUGAACUUUUCAAAAAAAGAAAAUUUGAAACCUAUGUAACGAGGCCAACAAGGCAGAAUGUGAUUGUGACACUUUCUGAUCAUCAAAAACUGUAUUCUCUUGAGGAAAUGAAUUCUGUCCCAGGUAUACUAUAUAAGCCUGCACCAAACAUAACUGGCUUAGUACAUUAAUCAAGUAUGCACUUAUGCAGUAUUGAAACAUGAAUUCUCUUACGUAUAUACUUGCCUGUUUGGCAGCAUGAGAAGGAAAAUGCAGAAGAGUGAAAAGAAAUGAAGAGAAAAGAACUGAAAUCUUCAAUUUUGCUUUCAACAUGUCUUCUAUGUGCUGUGAUGAAAAGCUCUUUCUUUCCCUGUUUUUGUAAUCACAUUAUUUUGCUAUUUUUAGUGGAAAUUUGUAAAAUUCUAUUAAUUAAAUUGAUGGGUUAGCGUAACUUUAGUGUGACAACUCAUAUUUCCUUGUCCAUUUUAUUAAUUUGGAAUAAUCUUUAAUAAGUUUACUAAAAUUUUAUUACGUAAUUCUGUGACAACUCAAAAAUUCUUUUAAUUAUUAAACNNNNNNNNNNNNNNNNNNNNNNNNNNNNNNNNNNNNNNNNNNNNNNNNNNNNNNNNNNNNNNNNNNNNNNNNNNNNNNNNNNNNNNNNNNNNNNNNNNNNNNNNNNNNNNNNNNNNNNNNNNNNNNNNNNNNNNNNNNNNNNNNNNNNNNNNNNNNNNNNNNNNNNNNNNNNNNNNNNNNNNNNNNNNNNNNNNNNNNNNNNNNNNNNNNNNNNNNNNNNNNNNNNNNNNNNNNNNNNNNNNNNNNNNNNNNNNNNNNNNNNNNNNNNNNNNNNNNNNNNNNNNNNNNNNNNNNNNNNNNNNNNNNNNNNNNNNNNNNNNNNNNNNNNNNNNNNNNNNNNNNNNNNNNNNNNNNNNNNNNNNNNNNNNNNNNNNNNNNNNNNNNNNNNNNNNNNNNNNNNNNNNNNNNNNNNNNNNNNNNNNNNNNNNNNNNNNNNNNNNNNNNNNNNNNNNNNNNNNNNNNNNNNNNNNNNNNNNNNNNNNNNNNNNNNNNNNNNNNNNNNNNNNNNNNNNNNNNNNNNNNNNNNNNNNNNNNNNNNNNNNNNNNNNNNNNNNNNNNNNNNNNNNNNNNNNNNNNNNNNNNNNNNNNNNNNNNNNNNNNNNNNNNNNNNNNNNNNNNNNNNNNNNNNNNNNNNNNNNNNNNNNNNNNNNNNNNNNNNNNNNNNNNNNNNNNNNNNNNNNNNNNNNNNNNNNNNNNNNNNNNNNNNNNNNNNNNNNNNNNNNNNNNNNNNNNNNNNNNNNNNNNNNNNNNNNNNNNNNNNNNNNNNNNNNNNNNNNNNNNNNNNNNNNNNNNNNNNNNNNNNNNNNNNNNNNNNNNNNNNNNNNNNNNNNNNNNNNNNNNNNNNNNNNNNNNNNNNNNNNNNNNNNNNNNNNNNNNNNNNNNNNNNNNNNNNNNNNNNNNNNNNNNNNNNNNNNNNNNNNNNNNNNNNNNNNNNNNNNNNNNNNNNNNNNNNNNNNNNNNNNNNNNNNNNNNNNNNNNNNNNNNNNNNNNNNNNNNNNNNNNNNNNNNNNNNNNNNNNNNNNNNNNNNNNNNNNNNNNNNNNNNNNNNNNNNNNNNNNNNNNNNNCUUUAUAAUUUUGAAAAAUUCAAUUAAAUCAUAUCAAAAUUUAAAAUUAUAUUCCUAAAAUUUGAAAAAAUUUCGACUUAUUUUUAUAGCUAGCCUAAAAGAACUAGAACCAAAUAUUGCAAAAGAUGGCUUCCGGAUUGUGCAAAGAGACUGCCCAAAUCUAGAGUUAUUUUCCAUCGAAUUAUUAAAUUUCAUAUUGGUUUGAGUUAAAGCAAUUUAGUAUUAGUGUUAACACUCCUAAUUUUUAAAAUGAGUUAAAUCUAAUUUAAAUUUAACACGAAACAUCAAAAGGAGAGUGCAAAAACUCUAAAUGAUAAAAGGCAAGAGAUUAUUAAGAAAAAUAGAAUUCUCAACGAAUCAUUGGAGAUGGAAUAUGGAAACUGAUCUAAAUUAAUUACACAUUUAUUUCAAUCAAAUCUCACUAAAUCAUUCUAAUCGAAUUAAAUUAUUUAUAAAUUAUUUGAAGAUUGAUUCCUAUAAAAAUUUAAUUUGGUUUAAUUCAUAUUAAAAAUGAUUUAAAUUUCACCCUUAUUUUUUAUUACUCAUUUAAUAAAUUAGAGUGAAUUCAUAUCCUUACAUCUCGCAGGUAAACUCAAUUAGAAGGCUGGUGAAAGUUGACAAGACUGCAUAGGUAACUUUACGCGGUAAGUAUGCUUACAUCUCAGCCUUAGUUAAUCUUAAAAAGCCUCUCAUUUCAAAAGUCGAUAUUAGAGGUCGAGUAUAAUUGAUUGAGUACGAAAAUGUGUCGAGUAUCUGCUUUACUUGCAGUGUUGGUCAUUCCUCAGUCUCUUACGAAGCUUCAAAAAUGGAGGCUACUCAAAGUGCCCUGAUUUAGCCAGACACCACCUGCGACGAUUGGAUGGUGGUGGCGAGUUGGGAAAGAAGGAACCAGUCUAGAAGUGCUAUUGAGUGCACUAAUCAAGGAGGCAAUAGUGGGUCAAAGUUAUUUUGGGUAAGAAUUUAGACAUGGAAGGUAGGAUUGAAGUUAAUAAGACAACUCACGCCAACAUCCCUAAAUUUUCUGAUGCUCGUAUCCUCAAGGUUUCAACGGCUCCUAUGGCAAAAAGGAAAGAAAUCUGCCCAUCUACCGGCUCUGACUUGCAGCGAUCGAAUCAAAAGAAGCAAGAAAAUCGUGAGUUGAAUAUAAGCACUCAUAAAGGGAAUAAUUUUUUGUUAUCAUGUUGGGGAUACUUCUGCCUCACGUAGUAACGUUGCCAUGCAACAUGCCCAAGCAGAAGUUACCCACAUGAAAUCCUCUUUGAAUGCUAAUGCUCACACGAUGAUAUGUGUUGGUCCGCCUCAAACACUCGAGACUAUUGCAUCUUCCCCUUGUGAAGGUACUGGAGGGACCCUUAGUUUGAAUCUUAUACCAAACAUCCAUAGUAGAUCUCCAGAUGUGAUCAAAUCUCCGGUUUGCUCCGAUUCUCAUAUUUAGAAUUUGUCAACUUUCCCAAACAUUGCUGGUAUGAAUAGUAAGUGCAAUCUGAAUCUGUCACACCCUGUUCUUAUUAAGAAUAUGAUUUUAGAGUAGGAAAAGAUGCGAGGAUGAGUAUAAUGACACGGAUGAUGACAGUAUUUUUGAGGAGGAAUCUUUGGGGAUCCUUAUCUUCAAGACUAAGGUGUUGUCGCUCUUAUUUUUCUUCCUUUUUAUGGAUAUGUUUAUUUUCAUUUGGAAUUAUCAAACAGUGGGUAGUACGAUUUUAUGAAUUAAUACUUUCAAGUUAAUUUUGGAGAAACACCAUCUAGACCUCAUUGUUCUCCUUGAACCCCGUAUAAGUGGUAAGAAAGUUGAUAAUUUCAUUAAGAAAAUGAAAUUUACUAGAGCACAUCGUAUAGAGGCUAAUGGCUUCUCAUGAGGCAUUUGGCCCUUGUGGAACUCUAAUUGGGACGUCCAGGUUUUGGUUAAUGAUAAACAGUUUGCUCAUACUCUUAUUUCUGAUAAUGGUAACCUUGUUAUGUCUUCUUAAUGUUGUCUAUGGUAGUCCUAUUGCUCUUUGCAAGAGGAGCUUAUAGAGUAAAUUACUUUCCUUCAAUAUACAAUCGAAAGACGGUUGGCUUUUGGCAAGCGAUUUUAACUCUAUACUUUCAACAGAUGAAAGAGUGGUGGGUUUUUAUACAGAUCAAGAGUGUCGCAAGAUUUCUUAAAUUGGUUAUUGUAAUCUUGAGUUUUCGACCUUUGCUUCAAGGGUCAUAUUUUCACUUGGCAGAAAGGAAAUUUUUUUUAGUGACUCGAUAGAGCACUCUGUAUUGAUGUUUGGAAGUCCAAGUUUCCUAAGGCAACUUUCUUCCACCUAGCUUGCAUUCAAUUGGACCACAUGCCCCUUCUUAUUAAUCUUCAUAGCAAUCAACCUCCUCCUCCUUUUUAAAUUUCAAGCAGUUUGACUUUCUCAUACUAGCUUUGAACCUUUUUUUAA